Molecule: unclassified non-coding RNA, 338 nt
Filed under: soil metagenome
Description: partial contains 5.8S ribosomal RNA, internal transcribed spacer 2, and large subunit ribosomal RNA
Rfam family: 5.8S ribosomal RNA (bases 1-120)
Source: RNAcentral
GAUGAAGAACGUAGCGAAAUGCGAUAACUAAUGUGAAUUGCAGAAUUCAGUGAAUCAUCGAGUCUUUGAACGCACAUUGCGCCCCCUGGUAUUCCGGGGGGCAUGCCUGUCCGAGCGUCAUUGCUGCCCUCAAGCACGGCUUGUGUGUUGGGCUCCGUCCCCCCGGGGACGGGCCCGAAAGGCAGCGGCGGCACCGAGUCCGGUCCUCGAGCGUAUGGGGCUUUGUCACCCGCUCUGUAGGCCCGGCCGGCGCCAGCCGACAACCCAUCAUCCUUUUCAGGUUGACCUCGGAUCAGGUAGGGAUACCCGCUGAACUUAAGCAUAUCAAUAAGCGGAGG